This is a long non-coding RNA of Astatotilapia calliptera (eastern happy), 1829 nucleotides long. Lineage: Eukaryota; Metazoa; Chordata; Actinopteri; Cichliformes; Cichlidae. The record is from Ensembl.
GGAAAUGUUGUGUCUGGGGCAGGCCAGAACUGAGCUAUGAUUAGCCAAUAAGCAGAGGCUGUGCUCAGCUGUGUUACAGUACUGGCUUCCCUGCACAGCUGUGUAAAAAACAUCUGGUCCCUCACUUGUUAUACAAACCAUUUUGGAAACAAACUGAAAGAAAAGAAAUCCAUAGAGAGGAAUAGCACAGAGCUUUGGAGCUGGGGGAAAUUUGCAGAUUUACGACCAUCUUUUGGUGCGGUGGAGUUUUGAGUCUUAAAUCCACCAUGUUUUGUUCCUCUUCACUGUAAUACUGAUGUUAUAGCUGUAAACCAACAGAAGGAAUCAUCCUAUUGGGGCUGAUAUGAUGUGAGACCUGGUAAAACACAGCGAAAAGCAUUUACUAAAUACAUCUCAGAUUGAGGUAAGGAGAGAGGCACAAUGCAGGCCUAUGCUUCAGCAAGACUACAACCAAUCACCAAAUACAGAUUGUGUUAAACCUUUUAUAAACUGCAGCAAAAUUCUGUCAGCACCUGUGAGCAUUUUGGGAUAUAAAUCUGACACAAUGUGACAACUUGUGUGAAUUUUUCUUUUUUUUUCCUCUUUUCUUCAAGGUUGACGGAAAUGCAUCCAACAACAGAAUUUUCUUCAUAUUUUUUUUUAUGCACUGUUAAUAUUCAAAGCAUGGACAGAGGAAUAUACAUACAAUUUGGCACACAUGGUUUAAACCAACAGAAAGACUUCAUCACAUUUAAAGAGGAGUGCAGGUUGGCAAGUCCCCACAUAAGAGUAUGAGCUUUGAACUUUAAACCCUUGGAUAACAAAAAACAAACAAACGAACAAAAAUAUAAAGGUAAAUCAAAAUAACAUAGUAAGUAAAACAUCUUUUUUUUUUUUUCUCAUUUCAAAACUGAAGCGUUUGUUUCUCACAUGGCACUCGGAACAGAAGCACCGUCCACAGGUUCACAAAGGGGGCCCAGCAGAUUAGAACAGAACACUAACCAGAGGCUGACAGGACACAAUCACUCCCCACACCAGCGUGCCGGUCGCACUCCAGCCCACGUCGCUCGGACCUGCUCCACGUUUUACUUCCCACAGUCAAGGAUGGAUGAAUGCUUUGAUUUUAGCUGCCACCCAGGAGAAGUUGGCAAGCUGAAAAUGAGGGGACUUUUGCAUGAGUUUGUGUGUUUCUGUGUGUGUGUGUGCCACCUGUGCUUUCAGUGAGCUUUAGCAGAUACAGUGGGAGCGCAUGAUGGGAAAUGGGCUGCAAACCUGGAGCAAAAUCAAAGCCUGUGCUGGACUGGAGUGAGACCGCCAUGCUUGCAAGUGCAUUAAGAUCAGCGAGCAGAGUGCAAAAUACUAAUACCAACUGUCCUCAUAAUACAGGCCUCUUAUCAGACAGGAGGGAGAGAUAGAGUAAGAUGUGUUGGUUGGUUGGUUUCAGAGCUACAUCGUACUGUAGCAGAGUAGUGUAAGGAGGGAACGUCUGGUAGGAGUUGGGGGGGGGGGCUUUUAAAACCUGACAAAUGACCUGAGGACACACGCACAUCUUCACACAUAAUGGCACACCACACACAGCACAUGAGGGAGGCCACUCAUGCUAACACAACAACUUUUUUUCGGAAACAUUUUUUUGUUUUUUUUGUUUUUUACAAAGUCACUAGUCACCAUCUGAGUCUUGACACAGAGGCCAGACUCACAGACAGGCAGUGAGGCGGGCAGGUGGAUAAAUAGUCAAGGUUUAAAGUAGAUUGACUCAGACGUGAAGGAUUUGGUGCAAUGAAAUAUGAAGGACUGGCCUUGAAGGGAUAAUUCACUCUCCAAAAAAAUGAAAAGAAACAAAUGUCUUU